RNAcentral lists this ribosomal RNA (412 nucleotides) under uncultured prokaryote. RNAcentral describes it as "bacterial SSU rRNA". It matches the Rfam family "Bacterial small subunit ribosomal RNA", at positions 30 to 456 of the family's 1533-position model. The record is from RNAcentral.
UGAACGCUAGCGGUGCGCCUAACACAUGCAAGUCGAGCGGUAGAAUUUUGUAGCUUGCUACAGAAUUGAGAGCGGCGAACGGGUGAGUAACAUGUUGAUAUCUGCCCCCAAGUCAGGGAUAGCCAUUGGAAACGAUGAUUAAUACCGGAUAGUCUCUACGGAGUAAAAAUUUAUUGCUUGGGGAGGAGUCUACAUUCUAUCAGAUAGUUGGUGAGGUAAAAACUCACCAAGUCUAUGACGGAUAGCUGGUCUGAGAGGAUGAUCAGCCACAAUGAAACUGAGACACGGUUCAUACUCCUACGGGAGGCAGCAGUGAGGAAUCUUCCACAAUGGACGAAAGUCUGAUGGAGCGACACCGCGUGAGGAUGAAGGCCUACNGUUGUAACUUCUUUUCUGAAGGAGCAUAAUGAGA